GAUAAGAUUUCCCUAGGAAUUUAUUCCUCUAAAGAGCCGUUCGAGACUAGGACGUUGAUAGGUUGGAUGUGGAAGCAUAGUGAUAUGUGAAGCUGACCAAUACUAAUUGCUCGUGAGGCUUGACUAUACAACACCCAAGCAGUUG
This 145-nucleotide ribosomal RNA is filed under the name Acinetobacter pittii. RNAcentral's name for it is "partial 23S ribosomal RNA". The stretch from base 1 to 127 matches the Rfam family "Bacterial large subunit ribosomal RNA", at positions 2803 to 2925 of the family's 2925-position model. The record is from RNAcentral. Lineage: Bacteria; Pseudomonadati; Pseudomonadota; Gammaproteobacteria; Moraxellales; Moraxellaceae.